CCUACGUGUGGCAGCAGUGAGGAAUAUUGGUCAAUGGUCGGGAGACUGAACCAGCCAAGCCGCGUGAGGGAGGAAGGUACAGAGUAUCGUAAACCUCUUUUGUCAGGGAACAAAGACUGGGACGCGUCCCCGGAUGAGUGUACCUGAAGAAAAAGCAUCGGCUAACUCCUUGCCAGCAGCCGCGGUAAUACGGGGGAUGAGAGCGUUAUCCGGAUUUAUUGGGUUUAAAGGGUGCGCCGGGGGUCUGUUAAGUCAGCGGUCAAAGCACGGGGUUAACCCCCGGCCCGCCGUUGAAACUGGCAGUCUCGAGUUGGAGAGAAGUAUGCGGAAUGCGCGGUGUAGCGGUGAAAUGCAUAGAGAUCGCGCAGAACUCCGAUUGCGAAGGCAGCAUGCCGGCUCCACACUGACGCUGAGGCACGAAAGCGUGGGUAUCGAACAGGAUUAGAUACCCCAGUAGUC
Molecule: ribosomal RNA, 459 nt
Filed under: uncultured bacterium
Lineage: Bacteria
Description: partial 16S ribosomal RNA
Rfam family: Bacterial small subunit ribosomal RNA
Source: RNAcentral